Molecule: microRNA, 19 nt
Filed under: Prunus persica (peach)
Lineage: Eukaryota; Viridiplantae; Streptophyta; Magnoliopsida; Rosales; Rosaceae
Description: microRNA miRNA_368
Source: RNAcentral
CGCUUGGUGCAGGUCGGGA